UCGGGCCCUGGCCUAACCGAUGCCUGAAGAAGUCUAGACGUCGGUCCCCCUAUAAGGCGACGUCUAAAGGGCUGCCAGGUAAGGUGAAUAGUCGACCUAUAGACGUCCACAAGACAACCACCGACGUCUAUAGGUCUCAGAGAUGGUGAAAAGUCACGAGGAAGACGUCGGUGCCCCCCAAUGGACGUCUAUAACCUGACAGGUAGUUGGGUGCCAUUAAUGUCUGAGACAUAGACGUCGGCGCCCCUCCCUAAGGGACGUCUAUAACUUGACAGUUAGGUGAAACUGUAAUGAUUAUGCUACAAACUAGACGUUGAUUACCAUGCAACCGAUGACUAUGUCCAACUAGACGUCAGUUGUGCACAUACCUGAUGUCUAUAAUCCGCGCCAAUAUUAAUAUUUAAAUCAUAUAGACGUCGAACUAGUGAGAGCACCGACGCCUAUAACCUUACAGACGUCUGUCGCGAUAGAUUACCGACGUUUAGAGUGACAAACUUCAGAACGCGAACCCGCGAGCAGUUUCCACUAUUCAUCGUCUUCUUCGUCGAGAGCUCUUCUCCG
RNAcentral lists this long non-coding RNA (561 nucleotides) under Vigna radiata. RNAcentral's name for it is "long non-coding RNA (VRAD_LNC005824)". The record is from RNAcentral. Lineage: Eukaryota; Viridiplantae; Streptophyta; Magnoliopsida; Fabales; Fabaceae.